Molecule: ribosomal RNA, 424 nt
Filed under: Osteocephalus castaneicola
Lineage: Eukaryota; Metazoa; Chordata; Amphibia; Anura; Hylidae
Description: partial large subunit ribosomal RNA
Rfam family: Bacterial large subunit ribosomal RNA
Source: RNAcentral
CUUGAAUUUCUAUAAGAGGUCCAGCCUGCCCAGUGACUUUGUUCAACGGCCGCGGUAUCCUAACCGUGCGAAGGUAGCGUAAUCACUUGUCUUUUAAAUGGGGACUUGUAUGAAUGGCAUCACGAGGGUUAUACUGUCUCCUUUUUCUAAUCAGUGAAACUAAUCUUCCCGUGAAGAAGCGGGGAUGAAACUAUAAGACGAGAAGACCCUAUGGAGCUUUAAACUUAAUAACAAAUACUAACCCCAUUUUAACUUUCAGAACAUUAAUUUUAACUCUAGUACCAUGAUUAUUAGUUUUAGGUUGGGGUGACCGCGGAGUAAAAAUUAACCUCCACAUUGAACAGGACCUAUCCUUGAGCCAAGAGCCACAACCCUAAGCACCAACAAAUUGACAUUAAUUGACCCAAUAUUUUGAUCAACGAAC